GGCAACAGAUUCAAAGAGAGCAGUGUUUUUUUGAGAGGAUGCCACUCCUCUUUGUGAAGUCACCCAAAAAAACAGCCCGGGGGAAGGGUUUUAAAAAAAAUCAGAAAAGACUACGCUACCUGGUUUGUUAAAUAUUCUAAAUUCCACAUCAGAAAACAAUCAAGCAUUGCUCAUAUAGGCCGACAUUAAGGAAUAAUUCAAAAUCCUCAUUCAGUUUGAAAAUGUUGACUCGGUGCUUAGAUGUCAACCUCAUUUACAGAGUUUUUUUUUUAUUUUAUUUUUUUAUUUUAAAUCUAAUUCGCAGUGUGCCCUAGUAUCAAAGUUAAAUUACCCGAAAACUCACUAUUUGUACAGAGAACUAUCUUGACACACUAUUAUCGUCUUUGGAUCGACGUACACUGGGCGUGGAUCAACGUCACUUCAUUAAAUAAACACAAGAAAUGGGUGUAGGGCCUAUACUGUCACGUGUUAACAAUGCAGGCAGGUGAAAGUUAUAAAUAAAAACAACAUUUAAAAAAAUACACGCUUUAGAAAUAAACUAAUAGGGACAUUUGGUUUCUCUGGUAACAUGGUCGUCUCACUUUCACACCGCCUGCUGCCGUGACUGCGGCAAGACUGCUGACCUGACCUCAGUGCUAGGGGUUAUUUGCCAGACAUUGGCUGUCUAAAAAUAGAUCACCUUUGCCUGUAGCCUAUUUAGCGUACCGGUGCAACAGGAUUCAAUUUGUUAAUGGCAUAUAAAUUCCCUACUGUUGUCAUAAUAGCCUACAUGUUAUAUGUGCAAUGCCAUUUAGGCUUCUUAAAUUAAAUGUAGGAAGCCUAUUGCCGGGAAAAUGUGAUGCAGGAUGGCUCUACAUUAUACAGAAGACAAAAUCAUGACUCAUCUCCUCGUAUAAACACUGAAUAGCAGUCUUUUUGGUAAGAAAAAGAAGAUAGAUCCUAAUGAAAGGGAAGUGAUGUCACUGGGCUAAGUGUCAUACCAGUUUAAUUCUGCCCCACCAAUUUCAAAACAAUAGCCUAUCCUAGUAAUGUUAUUUGACAUCUCUUAGUUUAAAGUCUGUAUUAGUGCCUUUUCAUCUGAUUUGAUCAAUUAGUGGUAAUGUCCCUCUGACAUUUCUUUGAGGGUCAAGACUCGCCUCGACUCCACACAGUAAAAGUGGCUUUAGAAAUAAUAAUUUAAGGAUAUAGAGACAGUGAGACCAUUUCAUUUAUGUUACCACUGUAAAAGUAUAGGCUACAUGGAAGAGGAUGUAUUUUCACUAAACAUACACUAUUUAUCUGAAUUAUGUGUACAAUGCAGUCUGUAUUAUGUGUUGUUAUUUUAGCUGUGUUAUCUUCAGCAAAUGGCUUGAAACACUGAGGCUUAAUUUGUAGUUUGAUUACAUCCAUGGAUAAACAGUUUGUGAUCUACAGCCAUGACAUUCUGCCAAUAUUCUGUCAUAAUACGUCUGACCUGGUUAUAUCUCUUAUUACCUUUUCAUGUAGGCUAUAGAUAGUAAAAACUAAACUUUGUCAUGUUGAAAUAACCUUUUAUAAUAGCUCUUCAAACUCUCUGGAUUAUACUAGAAAAAGGCUUUAAGACCCAGAAUGUAAUCAAAGAAUUAACUCCCCUUUUUUCAGAGUACUAGAUGGUACAGUCCAAUCUCUCCUCCUCUCUGUCUCAUUCUCCUCCCUCUUGCUUCCAGUGUCCUCCAUCUCUCCGCUUUCCCUCAUUUUCUCUUACUAAGGACAUUGUCACUACCACAGCCUGCUGCAGUUGCUCCUCCGUCUGUAAUCCUUGUUAUCUCUGCAGAGCUUUUGGAGAGUGAAGCAGCACCGAGCUGACCUUAUAAAGACUCCUCCUGACCAGACCACACCUCUGUCCCUGAGUCCAUGGAAGCCAAGGCCAAGUCUGGGGCCCCGGCACCCAAGGCUGCAUCUAAAGCUGAAAAGAAGGAGCCGGCAGCCCCACGCAAGAGUGACCCUGCCCCUGCCCCUGUAGCUCCUGAGCCCGAGCAGCCUCCUCCCCAUGAUGGGGCAGCAGAAACGGAAGCAGCAGGUGAUGAGGCUGUGGCCUCUGGCACAGACUCUCUGGAACAUCUGAAGCCGUUCCUCAUUGGUGGUGCUGUUAUUGCUGCAGGAGCCAUCUUGCUGGGAGUGUUGCUACUGGCGAGGAGAAAUUAAAACCAAGUCAUUAUCUCAAUUGAAAGUAUUUAUUGGUUAAUCAGCUGGAGCGCUAUUGCUAAGUGGUUCACAGACUAUGAUACCUGGGGGAUGGGGUGCCACUGUGCUUCUAUUUUUUGUUCUAUUUUUUCAGCCUGCUUUCACUAGUAGUGAAUCAAACCAUUUAAGUUUGGAUCAAGGCUGUAUAUGGAGCAAACUACAAAUAGAAUAUGCAUGAAGUUACUUCAAUACUGCAUCUGAACUGUAAUAACCUAUUUCUUAAAAAAUGUACCACACUGUAGUGCUGAGCUUUAAACCGUAGACUCUAAAUCUAGCUCCCUCAACUGCUUUAUCUUUCUUUAAUCUAGUUUGCACAAAUGUUGACAAAAGCUUGCAAUAUUUGUACAUUCCUGCACUGGAAAUGAGAUUGGUUCACUUUACUAAAAGAUGAUAAAAAAACUGUUUUCAUAAUGUUGAAAUUAUGGAUAAUAGUGCUGGCUAUCAGAGCUGUCCUAGUUUUUUUUUACUUCUGUAUUAAACAAUUGAAAGAAUAGAAGUCAGUACAGCGGGGAAUAUGCAUUGUGAUGCAUCGCACAUAUUGUGGAAAAUUCCAUGCCAUCCCUGCAUAUUCGGAAAAAAAAUCUAAAUUGAUUGCUCCAGUGAAAUUUCAAAAAUCUACUUUUCCAGAGAUAGAAAAGAUGAGCACGCAAUGAUUAAGAAAGAGGAUGUUUGGGAAUGUUGGAGAACAGUAUACAUAGUAGGUUGCAGAGAACAAUAGUAUUGUUACGUCUUGCUGUAGACUAAGAAAGAGUUUGUUUUUACUGUUAAAAAAUGUCACAAAUCAAUAACCUUUCAUGUCUUACACAAAAGCCACCAUCAUGCUGGUUCAACUGGUUUGCUGCUUACAGUAGAUAUAGCUGGAGCAGGCUAACCAGACAUCAGUGUUUCAAUUUCGCUGCUGCAUACACUUACCUGUACAGAUGUACACAAUGUUCUUCGCUCACAUUCAACGGUCAUUGGGGUGUUCCUGUUGCAUCAGUAGAUAGCAGAUAGACAAUUGUGAUUCACAUCAUCACUUGAUAUAAGUUGUGAGGGGGAAUAUGUAUUGCAGAAUUUGUUCCUCGUUAAAAACUAUUUUGUACACAUACCACAUUUACCACAGUUAACAACCUAAACCCAUACAAAAUAUAGUAUGCCAACACCAAAACAAACUUCACCUGACAUUGUACGAUACAGUGUACCAAAAAAAAGAAAGAUACUAUUUUCAUAAUUUCAACAGCGUAUAAAUGCAAUAAUUCAGAUAGGACUCCUCAUUUAGCAUAUGUGCUGUAGCAAGUUAAAUUAUAUACAAGAGGAUUUACCAAUAUAUUGGAAGAUGAUGAUGUAAGAAAUGGCAAUUAUGGCGAGAUAGCAUGAUGCGUAUGAUGGUAAUAAUGAGGUCUCAUGGUGACCGUACUGAAAAUAAUGAUGGUUAUGAUAUAUUUUUGAUAUAUUUGUCACGUUUUCCUUCUGCACACUCCCCUAUGCCCCAAUAUCCAAAUGUAAAAAUGAGAAAGGAUGAUAUCUAACCUUUAUUAAAGUCAGUGAACCAGU
Labrus mixtus (cuckoo wrasse) is the source of this 3735-nucleotide long non-coding RNA. RefSeq lists it as uncharacterized. NCBI's taxonomy places the organism in Eukaryota, Metazoa, Chordata, Actinopteri, Labriformes, Labridae. The record is from RefSeq and is a predicted model, not a curated record. The transcript is spliced from 2 exons.